RNAcentral lists this long non-coding RNA (205 nucleotides) under Elaeis guineensis (African oil palm). Its description in RNAcentral is "long non-coding RNA (EGUI_LNC071954)". Lineage: Eukaryota; Viridiplantae; Streptophyta; Magnoliopsida; Arecales; Arecaceae. The record is from RNAcentral.
AUCCGCAUCCAUCUGACUGUUCUCGUUGGGGCCAGUUCUUGGAUCGUCCUAGCACGAAGGAAAGCCCCAUGGAGAAGAAAAAGAAAUAAAGAAAAAUUGGUUAUUCCAUCAAUGAAUGGAUGAUGGAAGAUCGGAGAUGAAAGAAAGACCUUUCAUCAGAUUGAAGAACCACCAACCCUUGACCUUGGGAUGAGGACGAAGGACA